RNAcentral lists this ribosomal RNA (253 nucleotides) under uncultured bacterium. Its description in RNAcentral is "partial 16S ribosomal RNA". It matches the Rfam family "Bacterial small subunit ribosomal RNA", at positions 524 to 776 of the family's 1533-position model. The record is from RNAcentral.
UACGAAGGGGGCUAGCGUUGCUCGGAAUCACUGGGCGUAAAGGGUGCGUAGGCGGAUCUUUAAGUCAGGGGUGAAAUCCUGGAGCUCAACUCCAGAACUGCCUUUGAUACUGGAGAUCUUGAGUUCGGGAGAGGUGAGUGGAACUGCGAGUGUAGAGGUGAAAUUCGUAGAUAUUCGCAAGAACACCAGUGGCGAAGGCGGCUCACUGGCCCGAUACUGACGCUGAGGCACGAAAGCGUGGGGAGCAAACAGG